CUUACACUCUUGAUAAUUUAUCUGACAUCUCUCUAACAUACAUUUUUCUCUACAGGAAGUAUGGAAGUCUGAUCUGCUCCUCACAUCUGGGAAAAUAGUGAAGUUUUUUUUUCUCCUAUCAAACAGGCAGUUCAAAGGUAUUUUUUCUUCAACCCCGCCAGUGAGCUACAACACCCCAACUUGGAGAUCACAUAAUCCCCAGUAGGUAAGGUCUAUAGCCCCUCCAACCAGAAGAAGCUAUAGAAGACAGAGACCUCUACGUGCAGUCCUCCAUAAAGAAUUAUGAGGCUAUGUGUCUCUUAGGGGAAAAUGAGACAGGAGAUUAAGGUGUGGUAAAGAUGGCUGGGGAAGCAGGUGUGAACUGUUAAUUACAAAAUCCCAGGACACAUGCACAGAACAGUUCCCAAAGCCCUGCACAUGGAUUUCUUGUGAGAAUUAGAGCAGGUUUUUGAUAAGAUACCAUAUAUCUGACAUCAGCCUGAGGAGUGGAUGAUAUAAAAAAAGACAUUCUACAUUGAUUCUGUGCCACUGUGUUCUCUCUGACAUGGUGGCUCACCCUCAUGCCCUAGGUUGCACUUCUUUUUCUCUUUUUACUUGACCCAAACUUGUUCUGCAGAGCCUGUU
RNAcentral lists this long non-coding RNA (624 nucleotides) under Fukomys damarensis (Damara mole-rat). Its description in RNAcentral is "lncRNA (ENSFDAG00000023824.1)". The record is from RNAcentral. Lineage: Eukaryota; Metazoa; Chordata; Mammalia; Rodentia; Bathyergidae.